ACAAGUCACAGUGCUGGAGGUGGUAUGCCCUGCUUAAAUGACAACAGCACCUUUUCCUGCCAAGUGUGUAUCCAAGCUUCCUAUCAACCCAGCCUGGAGCCGAGAGCACACAAGUCAGGGUAAGCGAGGCCCUGUGGACCUGGGGAAGGAGAAGCAGGAAGAGCUGUGCUCCCCCGGGAGAUGGAGAAGCUGGACA
Long non-coding RNA from Bubalus bubalis (water buffalo), 196 nucleotides. RefSeq lists it as uncharacterized. The record is from RefSeq and is a predicted model, not a curated record. NCBI's taxonomy places the organism in Eukaryota, Metazoa, Chordata, Mammalia, Artiodactyla, Bovidae. The transcript has 2 exons.